GGCGGCGUAGCUCAGUUGGCGAGAGCAUUCGGUUCAUACCCGAACGGUCAUUGGUUCAAGCCCAAUCGCCGCUACCA
This 77-nucleotide transfer RNA is filed under the name Clostridiales bacterium. Its description in RNAcentral is "tRNA-Met". It matches the Rfam family "tRNA". From Rfam's summary of the family: Transfer RNA (tRNA) molecules are approximately 80 nucleotides in length. Their secondary structure includes four short double-helical elements and three loops (D, anti-codon, and T loops). Further hydrogen bonds mediate the characteristic L-shaped molecular structure. tRNAs have two regions of fundamental functional importance: the anti-codon, which is responsible for specific mRNA codon recognition, and the 3' end, to which the tRNAs corresponding amino acid is attached (by aminoacyl-tRNA synthetases). tRNAs cope with the degeneracy of the genetic code in two manners: having more than one tRNA (with a specific anti-codon) for a particular amino acid; and 'wobble' base-pairing, i.e. permitting non-standard base-pairing at the 3rd anti-codon position. The record is from RNAcentral. Lineage: Bacteria; Bacillati; Bacillota; Clostridia; Eubacteriales.